GAUCCUGGCUCAGGACGAACGCUGGCGGCGUGCCUAAUACAUGCAAGUAGAACGCUGAAGGAGGAGCUUGCUUCUCCGGAUGAGUUGCGAACGGGUGAGUAACGCGUAGGUAACCUGCCUGGUAGCGGGGGAUAACUAUUGGAAACGAUAGCUAAUACCGCAUAAUAGCAGUUGUUUCAUGACAGCUGUUUAAAAGGUAGCAAUUGCACCACUACCAGAUGGACCUGCGUUGUAUUAG
Molecule: ribosomal RNA, 238 nt
Filed under: uncultured bacterium
Lineage: Bacteria
Description: partial 16S ribosomal RNA
Rfam family: Bacterial small subunit ribosomal RNA
Source: RNAcentral